UAUUUUCCAAAAAGAAAAGGAAAAAUUAAAGACAAAGGGCCCUCAAAUUUGGUCUUGUCCUGGGACCCCGCAGCUCAAUGUACCUACGUCUUUUGUUAACAUAGAAACAAUUCCAGCCUUCAAUUCCAUUACGCAUUACUGCAACCAAAAAGUUUGCUGUAGAAAUCAAAACAUUUUUGUUAUCUUGCGCCCGAGUUUCAAAAAAUUCAACUUCGCAUAUUUACAAACUCUUAGACGUGGUAAGGAUUUCUAUGUCAAAUGGCCUUCAUAACUUGAACUUUUCCAUAACUUUAAAUAUCAAUGAAACCAAACUCUACUUCAUCUUUCUCUGCAAGCAGGAACAGGAAGUCCAAUUUUAAUUUCAAGUCAACCACCAUUUCUAGUUUAUAUCACCGAAACCAAGAAGAUACUUUUCCGCAAUCUUUUCGAGUUCAUGCCAAGAUUUCAUCUGCCAAUAAUAUUGUUCACAUGUUGUGUGUUUACGCUGCAUCACGAACAGAGUUUUGCAUACAAGCAUAUCUACGUAAUUUUAGUUUCUCGAAGUAAGCCCCCUGCUGUCUUGCUUCUGUCUCACGAAAGCCAUAUGGAAGAGUAGCAUUGGAGAACAAUAUACUCCAAAAAUGUAUACCCACAAACACUUUGGAAUUUCCGUCUUGGCAAUAAAACUCGCAUAAACAUACUCGUACUUAAAGAAAAAAGAAUCCUUAAGAAAUUGUAGAACUUCCUACACGUCCCUGUGAACAAUACGUAUGUUAGCCAAGCGACGUUGAGCACAUACUCAAUGUUCAAAAAUGUUCACUUGAAGCAUAAAAUAUUGGGCGCCAAAGGCUGCAGGAUACGCAAUCAUAAGAAUUGAUGUAAUAAUUUAAAGUGUUUCUGUCCGCAUGGGCGCUUUUACUACAAAUGUCCUUCGUCACCCUUUGAACCAACUCGACUAUCGAACCAAGAACCAAACUGAACCUUUUCACAUAUAGGUGGGGACACUUUAGCAUUGAUUUAUCGGAUAUUCUGUGAAAAUAUAUGUUUCUUGGCAGUUUAGUGGUGUAUAUGUGUGUUGGGGGUGGUUGAUUGGUUUAUUUAUCAUUUUUUUUCUUCAUCUUCAAAUGAAUUAUGUGCUGUUAGGAGUAUUUUUCUCAUGACCCUAAGCACCGGUGAAGUGGAUAUGAUUUUAACACCUCUUCGGUUCACUCAAUUUAUUGAGAUAAUUUCAGCUUUAUGUUCCGGAAUUUGUCAUGCCAGCAUGUUAUGAGAUGAUGAAGAGGGACCAUUUAUGUGUUCCUAAUGGAUAAAGAGAAAAUAAAUUAAGUACUUAUUUUCAAACCUUUA
Molecule: long non-coding RNA, 1326 nt
Organism: Episyrphus balteatus (marmalade hoverfly)
Lineage: Eukaryota; Metazoa; Arthropoda; Insecta; Diptera; Syrphidae
Exons: 2
Source: RefSeq, a predicted model, not a curated record